AACAAAAUAGUGUUAUUUAUAGUAUAUUAUGAAAAGUUACUACUUUUGCUAAGAGCAUAAUUAUCAGUCGUUCCCUCACUUGUACCAAUACUAUUGUGUCAGAGUUAAGAUAGAAAUUUGUUACCUAAAAUUAAUCAAAGAAAUUACAGCCGAUGAUGAACAUAAAAAAAAAUUAUGGUUCUAUAAAGCAGUAGUUUCAACUCCAUUAACAAGAUCUAUGGCAAAGAAUAUGGUGGCAUGGUAGUAGGAACUAGGAAGAAGAAGGAGAAAAGAGAGGAAGAGAUGGAUAAAGGUGUAG
Molecule: long non-coding RNA, 298 nt
Filed under: Trifolium pratense (red clover)
Lineage: Eukaryota; Viridiplantae; Streptophyta; Magnoliopsida; Fabales; Fabaceae
Description: long non-coding RNA (TPRA_LNC005519)
Source: RNAcentral